RNAcentral lists this ribosomal RNA (457 nucleotides) under uncultured bacterium. RNAcentral's name for it is "partial 16S ribosomal RNA". It matches the Rfam family "Bacterial small subunit ribosomal RNA", at positions 338 to 795 of the family's 1533-position model. The record is from RNAcentral.
CCUACGGGUGGCAGCAGUGGGGAAUAUUGCACAAUGGGGGAAACCCUGAUGCAGCGACGCCGCGUGAGUGAAGAAGUAAUUCGUUACGUAAAGCUCUAUCAGCAGGGAAGAAACACUGACCUUACGGUCAGCAGACGGUACCUGAGUAAGAAGCCCCGGCUAACUACGUGCCAGCAGCCGCGGUAAUACGUAGGGGGCAAGCGGUAUCCGGAUUUAUUGGGUUUAAAGGGUGCGUAGGCGGACUGUUAAGUCAGCGGUAAAAGCCCGGGGGUCAACCCCGGCGAGCCGUGGAAACUGGCUGUCUUGAGAGGUCGAGAGGUAUGCGGAAUGCGCAGUGUAGCGGUGAAAUGCUUAGAUAUUGCGCAGAACUCCGAUUGCGAAGGCCGCAUACCGGCGGCGAUCUGACGCUGAGGCACGAAAGCGUGGGUAUCGAACAGGAUUAGAUACCCCUGUAGUC